Molecule: ribosomal RNA, 878 nt
Filed under: human gut metagenome
Description: bacterial SSU rRNA
Rfam family: Bacterial small subunit ribosomal RNA
Source: RNAcentral
CGCUGGCGGCGUGCCUAAUACAUGCAAGUCGAACGCUUCACUUCGGUGAAGAGUGGCGAACGGGUGAGUAAUACAUAAGUAACCUGGCAUCUACAGGGGGAUAACUGAUGGAAACGUCAGCUAAGACCGCAUAGGUGUAGAGAUCGCAUGAACUCUAUAUGAAAAGUGCUACGGGACUGGUAGAUGAUGGACUUAUGGCGCAUUAGCUUGUUGGUAGGGUAACGGCCUACCAAGGCGACGAUGCGUAGCCGACCUGAGAGGGUGACCGGCCACACUGGGACUGAGACACGGCCCAGACUCCUACGGGAGGCAGCAGUAGGGAAUUUUCGGCAAUGGGGGAAACCCUGACCGAGCAACGCCGCGUGAAGGAAGAAGUAAUUCGUUAUGUAAACUUCUGUCAUAGAGGAAGAACGGUGGAUAUAGGGAAUGAUAUCCAAGUGACGGUACUCUAUAAGAAAGCCACGGCUAACUACGUGCCAGCAGCCGCGGUAAUACGUAGGUGGCGAGCGUUAUCCGGAAUUAUUGGGCGUAAAGAGGGAGCAGGCGGCACUAAGGGUCUGUGGUGAAAGAUCGAAGCUUAACUUCGGUAAGCCAUGGAAACCGUAGAGCUAGAGUGUGUGAGAGGAUCGUGGAAUUCCAUGUGUAGCGGUGAAAUGCGUAGAUAUAUGGAGGAACACCAGUGGCGAAGGCGACGAUCUGGCGCAUAACUGACGCUCAGUCCCGAAAGCGUGGGGAGCAAAUAGGAUUAGAUACCCUAGUAGUCCACGCCGUAAACGAUGAGUACUAAGUGUUGGGUGUCAAAGCUCAGUGCUGCAGUUAACGCAAUAAGUACUCCGCCUGAGUAGUACGUUCGCAAGAAUGAAACUCAAAGGAAUUGA